Molecule: ribosomal RNA, 372 nt
Filed under: Staphylococcus aureus
Lineage: Bacteria; Bacillati; Bacillota; Bacilli; Caryophanales; Staphylococcaceae
Description: partial 23S ribosomal RNA
Rfam family: Bacterial large subunit ribosomal RNA
Source: RNAcentral
GGCUCGUCCGCUCUGGGUUAGUCGGGUCCUAAGCUGAGGCCGACAGGCGUAGGCGAUGGAUAACAGGUUGAUAUUCCUGUACCACCUAUAAUCGUUUUAAUCGAUGGGGGGACGCAGUAGGAUAGGCGAAGCGUGCGAUUGGAUUGCACGUCUAAGCAGUAAGGCUGAGUAUUAGGCAAAUCCGGUACUCAUUAAGGCUGAGCUGUGAUGGGGAGAAGACAUUGUGUCUUCGAGUCGUUGAUUUCACACUGCCGAGAAAAGCCUCUAGAUAGAAAAUAGGUGCCCGUACCGCAAACCGACACAGGUAGUCAAGAUGAGAAUUCUAAGGUGAGCGAGCGAACUCUCGUUAAGGAACUCGGCAAAAUGACCCCG